CCGGCACGGGUGAGUAACACGUAUCCAACCUGCCGUCUACUCUUGGACAGCCUUCUGAAAGGAAGAUUAAUACAAGAUGGCAUCAUGAGUUCACAUGUUCACAUGAUUAAAGGUAUUCCGGUAGGCGAUGGGGAUGCGUUCCAUUAGAUAGUAGGCGGGGUAACGGCCCACCUAGUCUUCGAUGGAUAGGGGUUCUGAGAGGAAGGUCCCCCACAUUGGAACUGAGACACGGUCCAA
This 237-nucleotide ribosomal RNA is filed under the name uncultured bacterium. Its description in RNAcentral is "partial 16S ribosomal RNA". It matches the Rfam family "Bacterial small subunit ribosomal RNA", at positions 100 to 334 of the family's 1533-position model. The record is from RNAcentral.